This 1278-nucleotide ribosomal RNA is filed under the name Diaporthe sclerotioides. RNAcentral's name for it is "eukaryotic LSU rRNA". It matches the Rfam family "Eukaryotic large subunit ribosomal RNA", at positions 56 to 1366 of the family's 3401-position model. Lineage: Eukaryota; Fungi; Ascomycota; Sordariomycetes; Diaporthales; Diaporthaceae. The record is from RNAcentral.
GAAAAGAAACCAACAGGGAUUGCCCUAGUAACGGCGAGUGAAGCGGCAACAGCUCAAAUUUGAAAUCUGGCCUCGGCCCGAGUUGUAAUUUGCAGAGGAUGCUUCUGGCGCGGUGCCUUCCGAGUUCCCUGGAACGGGACGCCACAGAGGGUGAGAGCCCCGUAUGGUCGGACACCAAGCCUGUGUGAAGCUCCUUCGACGAGUCGAGUAGUUUGGGAAUGCUGCUCUAAAUGGGAGGUAAAUCUCUUCUAAAGCUAAAUACCGGCCAGAGACCGAUAGCGCACAAGUAGAGUGAUCGAAAGAUGAAAAGCACCUUGAAAAGGGGGUUAAAUAGUACGUGAAAUUGUUGAAAGGGAAGCACUUGUGACCAGACUUGGGCCGGGCGGCUCAUCAGGGGUUCUCCCCUGUGCACUCCGCCCGGCACAGGCCAGCAUCGGUUCUCGUGGGGGGACAAGACCGUCAGGAACGUAGCACCCUCCGGGGUGUGUUAUAGCCUGGCGGACGAUACCCCCGUGGGGACCGAGGUUCGCGCUCCGCAAGGAUGCUGGCGUAAUGGUCACCAGUGACCCGUCUUGAAACACGGACCAAGGAGUCGUCCAUUAGAGCGAGCGUUUGGGUGUAAAACCCGCACGCGUAAUGAAAGUGAACGCAGGUGAGAGCUUCGGCGCAUCAUCGACCGAUCCUGAUGUUCUCGGAAGGAUUUGAGUAAGAGUUUUAACGGACGGACCCGAAAGACAGUGAACUAUGCUUGUAUAGGGUGAAGCCAGAGGAAACUCUGGUGGAGGCUCGCAGCGGUUCUGACGUGCAAAUCGAUCGUCAAAUAUGAGCAUGGGGGCGAAAGACUAAUCGAACUGUCUAGUAGCUGGUUACCGCCGAAGUUUCCCUCAGGAUAGCAGUGUUGAUCUUCAGUUUUAUGAGGUAAAGCGAAUGAUUAGGGACUCGGGGGCGCUAUAUAGCCUUCAUCCAUUCUCAAACUUUAAAUAUGUAAGAAGCCCUUGUUACUUAGUUGAACGUGGGCAUUCGAAUGUACCAACACUAGUGGGCCAUUUUUGGUAAGCAGAACUGGCGAUGCGGGAUGAACCGAACGCGGGGUUAAGGCGCCAGAGUGUACGCUCAUCAGACACCACAAAAGGCGUUAGUACAUCUUGACAGCAGGACGGUGGCCAUGGAAGUCGGAAUCCGCUAAGGACUGUGUAACAACUCACCUGCCGAAUGUACUAGCCCUGAAAAUGGAUGGCGCUCAAGCGUACCGCCCAUACCCCGCCCCCAGGGUAGAAA